This 768-nucleotide ribosomal RNA is filed under the name Vibrio sp. LC208. Its description in RNAcentral is "partial 16S ribosomal RNA". It matches the Rfam family "Bacterial small subunit ribosomal RNA", at positions 263 to 999 of the family's 1533-position model. The record is from RNAcentral. Lineage: Bacteria; Pseudomonadati; Pseudomonadota; Gammaproteobacteria; Vibrionales; Vibrionaceae.
GCUCACCAAGGCGACGAUCCCUAGCUGGUCUGAGAGGAUGAUCAGCCACACUGGAACUGAGACACGGUCCAGACUCCUACGGGAGGCAGCAGUGGGGAAUAUUGCACAAUGGGCGCAAGCCUGAUGCAGCCAUGCCGCGUGUAUGAAGAAGGCCUUCGGGUUGUAAAGUACUUUCAGCAGUGAGGAAGGUGGUAGUGUUAAUAGCACUAUCAUUUGACGUUAGCUGCAGAGAAGNACCGGCUAACUCCGUGCCARCAGCCGCGGUARUACKGAGGGUGCGAGCGUUAAUCRGAAUUACUGGGCGUAAAGCGCAUGCASGUGGUUUGUUAAGUCAGAUGUGAAAGCCCGGGGCUCAAYCUCGGGAAUUGCAUUUGAAACUGGCAGACUAGAGUACUGUAAGAGGGGGGUAGAAUUUCASSUGUAGCGGUGAAAUGCGUAGAGAUCUGAAGGAAUACCGGUGGCGAAGCCNNNUUGGCGGCCCCCUGGACAGAUACUGASWGUCAGAUGCGAAAGCGKGGGGANUGCAAACAGGAUUAGAUNNNNNNNACCCUSGUNAGKCYACSCCGUAAACGAUGUCUACYUGGAGGUUGUGGCCCAGGUGAGCCGUGGCUUUCGGAGCUAACGCGUUAAGUAGACCGCCUGGGGAGUACGGUCGCAAGAUUAAAACUCAAWUGAAUUGACGGGGGCCCGYACAAGCGGUGGAGNCAUGUKSUYUAAUUCGAUGCAACGCGAAGAACCNUUACCUACUCUUGACAUCCUMAGAAGAGA